This 1907-nucleotide long non-coding RNA is filed under the name Homo sapiens (human). Its description in RNAcentral is "long non-coding RNA NONHSAT056516.2". Lineage: Eukaryota; Metazoa; Chordata; Mammalia; Primates; Hominidae. The record is from RNAcentral.
UGCAGGGACUCCGGGAGCUGGGGCGGUCGCUGGUACCCACGGGGAGCAGGGGAGCCUUCCUAGGGGCCGCGGCACCGUGCCGCAGGUCGAGGUUGACCCGGCCGGGCUGGUGGGAGCCCUCGGCGGCUUCAUGGCCCCGGCUGCUGCACGGGUUCCCCAGGGUGGGGAAGCGGGUCCUGGCCGAGCAGAGGUUGCUCUUGGGCGGGGCGUCUCCCCGGAGCAAGCGCUCAGCUACUCGGGCUUUUGCGUAAACGCCUCGAUUCUCUGGGCUCUCGGAGAGCAGCUGGGUCCUGCCGGAGCGCACUCCAGCCGGGGUCGGGGUGGGGCAGCGCCGGCUCUUGUCGUCCUAGGGAUGGGUCUCUGCCCUGUGCUCUGCGAGCCGCCCCGGCCGCCCCCGCGUUCAGGGCCCAGCGGAGUGAGCCAGCUUAGGUGGAAGUGCGUCCCUCCCUCCGUGGCUGAACACGUGGGGACAGGGAGUACACCAAUGGGGUUUCUGGGUUGGGGGCAGAGGACAAGAAAAUGACUGUGAGCCAGGGCAAGAUACCUCCACCCUCUCCCUCCUGGCAGCUCUCCACUUCCUCCAGGAGAGAAGUACUGACCAGAGAACGCCCGUGGAGGGGCCUGCAGUACGGACACCUGCUCCAUGCCCGGAAGAGAGCGGAAACCAGGCACACCAUUCACAAGUAAAUGACCAAGGAACCCCGCCCCCGGCCCGCCUCCCUCCGUUUAAGAAGCCAAUCUGAAGAGCGCUAAGGCCAGACACCCUCGAGGGAGAAUCUAGGGGCAGGGCUGCAAAACUGGGCUUGGAAGUUAGGCAGACAUCGUGGAGUCCGGGUGCACCUGCUGGAGCACAAAGCACCACUUGCAGACAUCCUGACCGCCCCCCUUUGAGGUUGGGGUGGGGACUGACCCCAAGGCAACGGGGAUGUCUGAUUCUGAAUGUUGGGUUAGACAGACUCAAGUGCGGCACCUGGAGUCAGUUCCUUGCUCCUCUCUUCUCGCCAGGGCUGCUCUGAAGGUGUUUGGGCUGGAAAUGCUGUCUUUGAUGCUGGGGAGUGGGGAGAGGAGGGCCAGGUGCAUCUCAUUUGGCCUUCAGAGUCAGGAAGUCAGAUGCCGCAUCGUUGUGAAUUUCCCCACAGGGAUCCUCCGCUGGUCUUCUGACCGAAUUUCCCCACAGGAAUCCGCAGGUCUUCUGACUGCUAGUUUUAACCCUCUGAAGCCUUGUGAGUCACUCGCUCACACACACCAACCCCAUCCAGUCCUCCCAGGCCAUCUCUUCCAUACGGAUGGUAACAUGCCAAGACUGUCCUAGAGGAAAUGAUCACGAUCACGUGGAGGAGGAAACGGACGUGGGAGAAGGCCCGCCAAACCAGCAGCCUCACCCCGCGGUUUACUCCGCUGCCCACCCCACUCUGCUCCGGGGGCUGGCAGGCUUUUGGCCCCACGCCAAGCCCAGCUCCUAUCUGCAACAAGAUUUAUGAUCAGUAGUCAUGUGGGGGACCUUAAGCAUGGAUCCCAGGGGAAAGGGGGUGAGUUAGACACAAGCGAAGGGCUGAAGGCCGGCUCUCCAUCAGCUGCUGGGCUGUGCCGUGCCCCACCUGUACUUGGCGAAGAGUGAUGAGGGCUGAGGCAGCCUCUCUGUCCGUGGGUGUGGAAGAUGCACACACUCCUAGCGGAAGCCUUCGAGACAGCAGCGCAGACCGCUGGACACUGCGUUUCUAUGCCCAACUUGGAGGUGUUAUCAUCUCCCUAAGCACGAAGUAUAUGAAGGAGUCAAUUUAGGUCAGACUGAGGGGAGAAAAACCAUGAAGCUUCAGGCUGUGUUGAGGGCGAGGAGGGCUGGGCCUUGAGGGACCUCUCCUCAGAGCAGCACAGCCCAAUAAGGAGAACACAGCAGGAAGGUGAGG